Molecule: ribosomal RNA, 280 nt
Filed under: uncultured bacterium
Lineage: Bacteria
Description: partial 16S ribosomal RNA
Rfam family: Bacterial small subunit ribosomal RNA
Source: RNAcentral
UGCCAGCCGCCGCGGUAAUACGGAGGGCGCAAGCGUUGUUCGGAAUUACUGGGCGUAAAGCGCAGGCAGGCGGUUCGUUAAGUCGUUUGUGAAAACCCGGGGCUCAACCCCGCGGAAUGCAGACGAUACUGGCGAACUGGAGACCAGUAGAGGCUAGCGGAAUUCCUGGUGUAGCGGUGGAAUGCGUAGAUAUCUGAAGGAACAUCAGUGGCGAAGGCGGCUUCCUGGAUCAACACUGACGCUGAGGUGCGAAAGCGUGGGGAGCAAACAGGAUUAGAUA